UUUUUGUUUUUUUUUCUUAUGGUUACCAUUGCUGUGCCAAAUCUUGUCAGUUUGAUUAGAUCCCAUUGGUUUAUUUUUGCUUUUAUUUCUGUUGCCUUGGGAGACUAACCUGAGAAAACAUUUGUAAGGUUGAUGUCAGAGAAUGUUUUGCCUAUGUUCUCUUCCAGGAGUUCGAUGGUGUCUUAUGUUUAAGCCUUUAAGCCUUUUUGAGUUUAUUUUCAUGCAUGGUGUGAGGGUGUGUUCCAGUUUCAUUGAAUUACACGUGGCUGUCCAGUUUUCCCAGCAUCACUUGCUGAAAAGACUGUCUUUUCCCCAUUUUAUAUUCUUGCCUCCUUUGUCAAAGAUUAAUUGACCAUAGGUGUCUGGGUUUAUUUCUGGGUUCUCCAUUCUGUUCCACUGGUCUGUCUGUCUGUUUUGGUACCGGUACCACACUGUCUUGAUGACUGUGGCUUUGUAGUAUUGCCUGGAGUCUGGGACAGUUAUGCCUCCUGCUUGGUUGUUGUUCCUCAAGAUUGCUUUGGCAAUUCUGGGUCUUUUAUGCUUCCAUAUAAAAUUUUGGAUUGUUGUUCUAGUUCUGUGAAAACUGCCAUGGGUACUUUGAUAGAGAUUGCAUUGAAUCUGUAAAUUGCUUUGGAUAGUGUAGCCAUUUUUACGAUAUUAAUUCUUCCAAUCCAGGAACAUGGGAUAUCUUUCCAUUUCUUUGAAUCCUCCUUAAUUUCCUUGAUUAAUGUUUUAUAGUACUCAGCAUAUAAGUCUUUCACCACCUUGAUCAGGUUUAUUCCUAGAUAUUUAAUUUUUGGUGGUGUGAUUUUAAGAGGUAUUGUAUUUUUAUACUCCUUUUAGACCAUUUCAUUGUUAGGUCUACUGAAAUGCAAUCGAUUUCUGAAUGCUAAUCUUGUAUCCUGAUACUUUGCUGAAUUCAUUGAUCAGUUUGAGUAGUUUCUGGGAGUCCUUAGGGUUUUCCACAUAUAGUAUCAUGUCAUCUGCAUACAGUGACAAUUUUACCUCUUCUCUUCAAAUCUGGAUACUUUUAUUUCUUUUGUCUGAUUGCUGUAGCUAGGACUUUCAAUACUAUAUUGAAUAAAAGUGGUGAGAGUGGGCAUCCUUGUCUUAUUCCAGAUUUUAGUGGGAAGGCUUUUAGCUUUUCUUCAUUGGGUAUUAUAUUUGCUGUGGGUUUAUCUUAAAUGGCUUUUAUUAUGUUAUGUUCCCUCUAUGACCACUUUAGUAAGAGUUAUCAUGAAUGGAUGCUGGACUUCAUCAAAUGUUUUUUCUGCAUCUAUUGAGAUGAUCAUGUGAUUUUUUACUUUUCUUUUGUUAAUGUGGUGUAUGAAAUUGAUUGAUUUGCAUAUGUUGAACAAUCCUUGUGAACCUUUGAUGAAUCCCACUUGGUCGUGGUCUAUGAUCUUUUUUUAUAUGUUGUUGGAUUUGGUUGGCUAAAAUUUUGUUGAGAAUUUUUGCGUCUAUAUUCAUCAAAGAUAUUGGCCUAUAAUUUUCUUUUUUGGUAGUACCUUUGUGUGGCUUUGGUAUUAGGAUGAGGGUGGUUUCAUAGAUUGCAUUUGGAAAUGUUCCUUCAUCUUCAACCUUUUGGAAAAGUUUAAAAAGGAUGGGAUUUAAGUUCUUCUUUAUAUGUUUGGUAGAAUUCACCUGUGAAACAAUCUGGUUAUGGACUUUUGUUUGUAGGGAGUUUUUUUAUUACAUAUUCAAUUUCAUUUCUAGUGAUCCAUCUGUUCAACUGGUCUAUUUCUUCUCAAUUCAGUUUUGGUGGGCUCUAAGUAUCGAGAAAGCGGUCCAUUUCUUCCAGUUGUCAAAUUUCUUAGCAUUUAAUUGUUCAUAGUAUUCUCUUAUGGCUUUUUGUAUUUCUGCAGUAUCAGUUGAGAUUUCUCCUUUUUCAUUUCUUAUUUUGAGUUCUUUCUUUCCUUGGUGAGUCUGGCCAGAGGUUUGUCAAUUUUGUUUACCCUUUCAAAGAAUCAGCUCUUGGCUUUAUUGAAUUUUUUUUUUUUUCCUAUUGUGCUUUACAUCUAUAUUUUAUUGAUUUCCUUUCUGAUCUUUAUAUCUUCUUUCUUCUACUUACUUUAGAUUUUUUUUGUUCUUCUUUUUCUAAUUCAUUUAGAUGUUGGGUUAAGUUGUGGAUUUGAGAUUUUUCUUCUUUUUUGAGGAAGGCCUGCGUUGCUAUGAACUUCCCUCUAAGCACUGCUUUUGCGGCAUCCCGUAGGCUUUGAAUGCUUGUGUCUUCAUUAUCAUUUGUCUCAAGGUAUUUUUUAAUUUACUUUUUGAUUUCCUCAUUGACCCAUUGGUUUUUUUAGUAGCUUGCUGUUUAGCCUCCAUUUUUUUCCCAUUUCUGUUCCUGUGGUUGAUUUAUAGUUUCAUACAAUUUGUGGUCAGAGAAGAUACUUGAAAUAAUUUCUAUACUCUUAAAUUUGUUCAGGUUAGUUUGUGCCCCAGUAUGUGGUCAAUCCUUGAGAAUGUUCCAUGUGCGCUUGAAUACAAUGCAUAUUCUAUUUUUUUUCUUGUUGUCAUUGUAAUAUCCUGAAAAUGUCAAUUAAGGCUAACUUUUCUAUUGUGUGAUUUAGGAUCUCUGUUGCCUUGUUGUUGUUCUGUCUAGAGUAUCUGUCCAUUUAUGUGAGUGGGGUAUUAAAGUCUCAUACUAUUAUUGUAUUCUCAUCAAUUUCUCCUUUUAUGUCUGUUUGUAUUUGUUGUGUGUAUCUGGGUGCUCCUAUAUUAGGGGCAUAUAUAUUGACAAUUAUAAUAUCCUCAUCUUGAAUGGAUCCUUGGAUCCUUUUAUCAUUAAAUAGUGUCCUUCUUUGUCUUUCUUUAUGGCCUUCUUUUUAAAGUCUAUUUUGUCUGAUAUGAGUAUUGCAACUCCUACUUUCCUGUCUUGUACACUGGCAUGAAAUAUGUUUUCCCAUCCCCUCACUUUCAGUCUAUAUGUAUCCUUUGCCCAAUGUGAUACUCUUGUACACAGUAUAUUAGAGGCUCUUGCUUUUUAAUCCAAUCUACCACUCUGUCUCUUGAUUGGAGCAUUCAUACCAUUGACAUUUAAGGUACUUUUUGAUAAAUAUGUAUUUAUUGUCAUUUUAAAGCUUAUUUUCCAGUUGAUUCUUUGUUUCUCUUUUGUUCCUUUCUUUUUUGGUUGGAUACCUUCCUUUUAUUUUAUGCUUGUGUCCUGGAUACCUUCCUUUUAUUUUAUGCUUGUGUCCUUUUCUUUUUAGUUUUUGUGAAUGUAAUGUUUGGUUUUGAUUUGUGGUUGCCUUUUUGUAUGUCAACCCCUUCCUAUAUCUACUUGCUUUAGCCUGAUAGUCAUAUAGGCUCAAACACAUU
This 3318-nucleotide long non-coding RNA is filed under the name Sus scrofa (pig). RNAcentral describes it as "lncRNA (ENSSSCG00000054412.1, ENSSSCG00175005264.1)". Lineage: Eukaryota; Metazoa; Chordata; Mammalia; Artiodactyla; Suidae. The record is from RNAcentral.